Molecule: ribosomal RNA, 492 nt
Filed under: uncultured bacterium
Lineage: Bacteria
Description: partial 16S ribosomal RNA
Rfam family: Bacterial small subunit ribosomal RNA
Source: RNAcentral
AGUGAACGCUGGCGGUAGGCCUAACACAUGCAAGUCGAACGGCAGCACAGUAAGAGCUUGCUCUUACGGGUGGCGAGUGGCGGACGGGUGAGGAAUACAUCGGAAUCUACUUUUUCGUGGGGGAUAACGUAGGGAAACUUACGCUAAUACCGCAUACGACCUACGGGUGAAAGCAGGGGAUCUUCGGACCUUGCGCGAUUGAAUGAGCCGAUGUCGGAUUAGCUAGUUGGCGGGGUAAAGGCCCACCAAGGUGACGAUCCGUAGCUGGUCUGAGAGGAUGAUCAGCCACACUGGAACUGAGACACGGCCCAGACUCCUACGGGAGGCAGCAGUGGGGAAUAUUGGACAAUGGGCGCAAGCCUGAUCCAGCCAUACCGCGUGGGUGAAGAAGGCCUUCGGGUUGUAAAGCCCUUUUGUUGGGAAAGAAAAGCAGCAGGUUAAUACCCCGCUGUUCUGACGGUACCCAAAGAAUAAGCACCGGCUAACUUCGUG